UUCCUCGGGUUGGCGAGUUUCUUCCGCCGGUUCUGCCCGAACUUCGCAGAAGCAGCCGCCCUUCUAACAGGACUAAUCAGUGGAACUGCCAAAUUUAAGUGGACACCAGACUGUCAACGGGCAUUUGAUCAACACAAGACUUUCUGGACUUCUCUCGACCAUUUUCUCUGCAAACCGACGCCAGCGACAUCGCCUCAGGGGCAGUCCUCCUAGUGGAGAAGAAUGUAAUCUAUCAUCCGGUGGCCUAUCACUCAGCCAAAUUCAGCAACCACCAGAGGAAUUACAGCACCAUCGAGAAGAAAAUGCUCUCAUUUGUCUCAGCAAUUCAAAAGCUUAAAUGCUACCUGCACACCAGCGUCAAGCCCCUGCAGGUAUUCACUGACUGCAAUCCUCUGACAUUCCUACAGCGAAACAAGUUUACCAACCAGCGUCUUCUCCGGUGCUCACUUCUUCUUCAGCCCUAUGAUGUGACCAUCCGACACAUAAAAGGCUCUGAAAAUAUCAUCGCAGACACCCUCUCGCGAAUUCACCUCUGAUUCUGACGCGGGCCUCUCCAUUUUUCAUUCCUCCACCGUCACCAAGGUUCUUGUUACCGGGUGUCGACGUCCUCAGGUGGGGAGGUAUUACAGCCCUCGUACCAGCCUCACCAACCACUAAUCUCUCCGAAUAACCAUCGGCUUCGAAUACCGUCUCGACUACACCGUGCCGGUACCAUAAAGACGAAGCUUUAGAAACACGUCUCGACUCGCGUCUCGAUCGAGGUAACCGAGCUGACCUCUGACUUCCAUCUCCACACCAUGUCAGUCUCACUUGCUUCUCGCAGUUGGAGCCAUCUUCCAUCCUGCUGCUUGGAUUCGCUUUGUUCCUCACCAUGUACUUGGACUUGCUUUUGGCGGUUAUGACGUGUCACAUCAUCAGCGUACAUGAUAUCGAGACACAGAGGACCGGCAACAGAGACAACAUGGUGUCUCCUUGGAUAGCCUUCCACAUGGCAGCUGUGAUGGUGACUGCAGAUCUUACAGGUGGUCAAGAAAGUGACGUCGAUAAUGUGGGAGAUAUGAUAAAACGUGUCGUGAACCAGGAUCUUGCAUUUUGUGAUCUUAUGGUGUUCACUACAGCAACCUACUCUCAAGUGUUCUCCAGUAUACGCAGGUUGAUGAAAUAAUGUCAUAUUGGUUGUAAAAAAUAAAUAAAUAAAUAAAUAAAUAAUGAUAAUAAAAUAAACCAUGUAAUAGGUGCUUUAAUCUGUGGA
This is a long non-coding RNA of Scylla paramamosain (green mud crab), 1252 nucleotides long. RefSeq lists it as uncharacterized. Lineage: Eukaryota; Metazoa; Arthropoda; Malacostraca; Decapoda; Portunidae. The transcript is spliced from 3 exons. The record is from RefSeq and is a predicted model, not a curated record.